Non-coding RNA from Biomphalaria pfeifferi, 1235 nucleotides. The record is from the annotation of a GenBank genome assembly. Lineage: Eukaryota; Metazoa; Mollusca; Gastropoda; Planorbidae.
CUUUUUUUUUUUUUUUUUUUUUGUUUGCUUGGUCCAAAAGCCUUGUUUCUAUUUUGUAAAUAUAGCCAUCUUUCAAAAAAAGUAAUUUAUUUUCUUCUUUGGUUUCAUCUUUUUGUUGCCCCAACAUCUUUGGACAUUUUCUACACUCCUAGAAAGGAAACAACAAACCAACAUAUCUUUGAAUCUGAUGGUCUGUACCCAAAAACAUAUCUUGCAAUAAAUACAUUUUGUUUGUUUUGGUUGUUUUUCUUCUUUCUUGAUUACUUUUGUACAUCAUUAUAUGGUCACAUGUUGGUCUGAAGCUUGUUCCUAUCAUGAGAAUUUCUAGUUUGUCCAUUACAUAUUGUUUGUGUUUUGGGGGAUUUUUUUUUUGUCACUACAACGAUACUUGUUAACCUAGAAAGCUGAUAGCAUGGUGCUAUUUGGCUCAACUCCUUUACUAUGGAAUCACAAGAAUUGAGUAACCUUUUGUUUUAUAUUAGUAAUUUUUGAAAUCAGCAACAAAAUGAAAUUGUUCCAUUCUGAAACUGUAAAGAUGAUUACAGGAUACAGAGAAUAUUAGUGCCUUAAACCAAGUGUUAGGUUUAGCUAAAGUUUCCUAGUUCUAUUAAAAAUAGUCUGUAGAAAAGAAUCUUAACAAAACUGAAAGAACUUAGGUUCAUAGUGAGAUGACUACAUAGUAUUAAUUAUAUGUCUACAUAUAUUGGCUACUCCCCCCUUUUGUAGUUGAACUGAAUGGUUUUAUUUAUUCUGUGCUAUUAUUAGUUAAUAAGCAUAAUAAAUGCAGUGCAUUAGUUUUGCUCCAGACAUUCUGAUGAAAUAAACCCAGUUUCCCAUAUUGGUGGUACAAGACAUGUAAAAAUCGUGUACAUAGUGUGUGUUUAAGUUUAGUAUUAUUUUUAUUUGUAAUACUAUUUGAAUCUAUUCUUUGCCAGCCGAGGGAGGAGGUGUAUGUUUUGAACGUCACCAUGUAGUAUUUAUUACUGCUAGCUCCAUAAUUCAUUUGUUGUUAAAUGAACUCUCUCCCGCGCGUGGCCCUGACUUCCUGUUCACCAGCACUUGGAGCAACAAACAGCAUUUUGUUCAUUGUGUGAUUAGAGUGAGUGCUAAAAGGAACUUUUGCAGCUAGUUUUGUAUGAGUGUGUACAGGUGUGUGUAUAGUCUUACUGCGAUAACAUUAAGAGUAAUAUGAUUUCAUAAACAUGCUGUAAAUAAUAAAACUUGUCAGAAAUUUG